This 74-nucleotide transfer RNA is filed under the name bacterium. RNAcentral's name for it is "tRNA-Val". It matches the Rfam family "tRNA". From Rfam's summary of the family: Transfer RNA (tRNA) molecules are approximately 80 nucleotides in length. The record is from RNAcentral. RNAcentral also lists the same sequence under 2 other names.
GGGCGCUUAGCUCAGCUGGUUAGAGUGCAUGCUCGACACGCAUGAGGUCACUGGUUCGAUCCCAGUAGCGCCCA